CUGACCUCACAUGUGAUGAAGACCAUGGAGCAGCUGCUGCUUCACCACUUGAGGCCACAGGUAUGUCACGCCCUCGACCCUCUGCAGUUCGCAUACCAGGAGAAGGUGGGAGCGGAGGAUGCCAUCAUCUAUAUGCUUCAUCGAUCCCUCUCCCACUUGGACAGAGGCAGUGGUGCUGUAAGAAUUAUAUUUCUAGACUUCUCUAGCACCUUCAACACAAUCCAACCUCUGCUUCUUAGGGACAAGCUGACAGAGAUGGAAGUAGA
Long non-coding RNA from Erpetoichthys calabaricus (reedfish), 266 nucleotides. RefSeq lists it as uncharacterized. NCBI's taxonomy places the organism in Eukaryota, Metazoa, Chordata, Cladistia, Polypteriformes, Polypteridae. The record is from RefSeq and is a predicted model, not a curated record. The transcript is spliced from 3 exons.